AUGAACUCAAAGUCAAAACCUAAAAAACCCACACCGAUUAGGGUUUUCGGACAACGAUCCAUCACCUCAACAUUCCGCUCUCUCCCGCCAAAUCCCUCUCAUGAUUCCGAAGCAAGUUCGAGAAAUCAAGCUUCGCGUAACAGCGACUCCACUCGUUUAUCGCUUACUCACUUCCUCGAUCGCAAACUGCAUAACUCUUCAACAGUCCCUCAAACCGUUCCGGUAAAAUUCUGGAUCCGAAAUUACUCUUAG
This is a non-coding RNA of Vicia faba (fava bean), 252 nucleotides long. The record is from the annotation of a GenBank genome assembly. Lineage: Eukaryota; Viridiplantae; Streptophyta; Magnoliopsida; Fabales; Fabaceae.